Molecule: ribosomal RNA, 465 nt
Filed under: uncultured bacterium
Lineage: Bacteria
Description: partial 16S ribosomal RNA
Rfam family: Bacterial small subunit ribosomal RNA
Source: RNAcentral
CCUACGGGUGGCAGCAGUAGGGAAUCUUGCACAAUGGACGAAAGUCUGAUGGAGCAACGCCGCGUGAGUGAAGAAGGGUUUCGGCUCGUAAAGCUCUGUCGGCAGUGAAGAACGUUAAAGGUGGUAACUAGCCGUUAUUUGACGGUAACUACUUAGCAAGUACCGGCUAACUACGUGCCAGCAGCCGCGGUAAUACGUAGGUGGCAAGCGUUGUCCGGAUUUAUUGGGCGUAACGCGAUUGCAGGCGGUUAAAUAAGUCUGAUGUGAAAGCCUUCGGCUCAACCGGGGAAUUGCAUAUGAAACUGGUGAACUAGAGUGCAGAAGAGGAGAGUGGAACUCCAGGUGUAGGGGUGGAAUGCGUAGAUAUAUGGAGGAACACCAGUGGCGAAGGCGGCUUUCUGGCCUGUAACUGACGCUGAGGCUCGAAAGCAUGGGUAGCGAACAGGAUUAGAUACCCGUGUAGUC